Molecule: ribosomal RNA, 487 nt
Filed under: uncultured bacterium
Lineage: Bacteria
Description: SSU rRNA
Rfam family: Bacterial small subunit ribosomal RNA
Source: RNAcentral
AGGACGAACGCUGGCGGCGUGCCUAACACAUGCAAGUCGAACGCGCUCCAUUCGGUAGCAAUACUGAUGAAGAGCGAGUGGCGAACGGGUGAGUAGCACGUGAGCAACCUGCCCCGAAGACUGGGACAACACCGGGAAACCGGUGCUAAUACCGGAUAUCCCUAUCGGACCGCAUGAUUCGAUAAGGAAAUGGAUUCCGCUUCGGGAGGGGCUCGCGGCCUAUCAGCUAGUUGGUGGGGUAAUGGCCUACCAAGGCGACGAUCAGUAGCUGGUCUGAGAGGAUGAUCAGCCACAUUGGGACUGAGACACGGCCCAAACUCCUACGGGAGGCAGCAGUGGGGAAUAUUGGACAAUGGGCGCAAGCCUGAUCCAGCCAUGCCGCGUGAGUGAUGAAGGCCCUAGGGUUGUAAAGCUCUUUUGUGCGGGAAGAUAAUGACGGUACCGCAAGAUAAGCCCCGGCUAACUUCGUGCCAGCAGCCGCGGUUAA